AAAGAUUCUGGGUGUGGGGGGGAGCUUUGGCAAAAUAAACAACAGACCACGCACUCCGUGACUCACAUCAGCGCGUGGGAUCCUUACGAGGCGACUGAGCACAUCCAGCGAGUCCGCAGGUUCAAACGGCAGCUCUCAUGUGCACAGGAGCAGCAGAAAGACACAGACGGACAAAGGUGAUUCUGUAUCGGCAUCACUGGGCGUUGGGAAACACUGCUUGACUGAGCUACGUAAUCUUCUGUAUUUCAUUCUCUAACAUCCCAACGCUUAUCACUGGCAGCAAACACUGUCGGCUGUUCUCCUUCAAGUGACAGCUCACUUCGUCCGUCUUCCAGAAAACACCACGUACCCGAGGUUCGUCUGUGGGUCCUUCAGGGAAGUGAUGCCACGAAAAGCAGCUGGGCUGCCCAGACCCCACAACUCCAUGGUGCCCUCCUACCCACUUCCCCUUUCAUCGCACAGAACGUAAAGAUGGGCAUUCGGUGGCUGAAAUCAAACAGCAUCAGUGAGUGUUGCUGUCUCUGUUGUCAUGCAGCAGCCUACCCGUCUGUCCCCUUGUACCUACCCCUAAAGAAAGGAGAGUCUGUGAGACUGAUCCUUUCAGGUACUUUGCUUCACCUUUGUGCUUGCACCUUAUGUCUCCCUGUUUGGCCCCAAAGGAUGGCUGGUUAGUCAAUGACGGGUAAGAUUCCUCAAGAGAGGAACAACCUAAGCCAGGCACAGUCACAUAGGGGCCAUCGGGAGAACUCACAGGGUUGACAGAGGUGGCACACACCCCCACCUUCGCCCGGCUAAGGAGAGCUUCUGUCUCUGUGGCUAUAUUCCUUCGCAAGACCUGUUUGGGAAGGGAUUCAAUGAGAUGAUAACAUCCGUUCUCCAUCUAUUCUUAUCAGUAAGUUUCAGCCUAAAGGAUUUGUCCCUGGGGAGGCACACACCACCAUUAUUGAGACAUCCUGGGACUUUCGGUUCCGGCU
Molecule: long non-coding RNA, 974 nt
Organism: Rhinolophus ferrumequinum (greater horseshoe bat)
Lineage: Eukaryota; Metazoa; Chordata; Mammalia; Chiroptera; Rhinolophidae
Exons: 3
Source: RefSeq, a predicted model, not a curated record